Molecule: ribosomal RNA, 468 nt
Filed under: uncultured bacterium
Lineage: Bacteria
Description: partial 16S ribosomal RNA
Rfam family: Bacterial small subunit ribosomal RNA
Source: RNAcentral
GACGAACGCUGGCGGCGUGCUUAACACAUGCAAGUCGAACGGAAAGGCCCUGCUUUUGUGGGGUGCUCGAGUGGCGAACGGGUGAGUAACACGUUAGUAACCUGCCCUUGCCUUUGGGAUACCUUCAGUAAACUGGGGCUACUACCGGAUAGGAGCUCCUGCUGCAUGGUGGGGGUUGGAAAGUUUCGUCGGUUGGGGAUGGACUCGCGGCUUAUCAGCUUGUUGGUGGGGUAGUGGCUUACCAAGGCUUUGACGGGUAGCCGGCCUGAGAGGGUGACCGGCCACAGUGGGACUGAGAGACGGCCCAGACUCCUACGGGAGGAAGAAGUGGGGAAUAUUGCACAAUGGGCGGAAGCCUGAUGCAGCAACGCCGCGUGCGGGAUGACGGCCUUCGGGUUGUAAACCGCUGUCGCCUGUGACGAAGAGUGAGUGACGGUAAUGGGUAAAGAAGCACCAGCUAACUACGUG